CCUACGGGAGGCAGCAGUGAGGAAUAUUGGUCAAUGGCCGGAAGGCUGAACCAGCCAAGUCGCGUGAAGGACGAAGGUGCCAAGCAUUGUAAACUUCUUUUGUCAAGGGACAAAAUCAGGCUCGAGAGCCUGAUCGAGGGUACUUGAUGAAAAAGCAUCGGCUAACUCCGUGCCAGCAGCCGCGGUAAUACGGAGGAUGCGAGCGUUAUCCGGAUUUAUUGGGUUUAAAGGGGGCGUAGGGGGGCUGUUAAGUCAGCGGUAAAAGCCCGGGGCUCAACCCAGACGAGCCGUUGAAACGGGCUGUCUUGAGAUGUCGAGAGGUAUGCGGAAUGCGCAGUGUAGCGGUGAAAUGCUUAGAUAUUGCGCAGAACUCCGAUUGCGAAGGCAGCAUACCGGCGGCGAUCUGACGCUGAGGCACGAAAGCGUGGGUAUCGAACAGGAUUAGAUACCCGAGUAGUC
Molecule: ribosomal RNA, 459 nt
Filed under: uncultured bacterium
Lineage: Bacteria
Description: partial 16S ribosomal RNA
Rfam family: Bacterial small subunit ribosomal RNA
Source: RNAcentral